CAGCAGCCGCGGUAAUUCCAGCUCCAAAAGUGUAUAUUUAAGUUGUUGCGGUUAAAAAGCUCGUAGUUGGAUUUUGGGCGCAGGCGGCCGGUCCGUCGCAAGGCGUGCACUGACCGUCCUGGCCUCACCCCCGGUUCUCCGCCGGUGCCCUUGACUGAGUGUCGGCGGCGGCCGGGACGUUUACUUUGAAAAAAUUAGAGUGUUCAAAGCAGGCGGUUCGCCUGAAUAAUGGUGCAUGGAAUAAUGGAAUAGGACCUCGGUUCUAUUUUGUUGGUUUUCGGAGCGCGAGGUAAUGAUUAAGAGGGACGGACGGGGGCAUUCGUACUGUGCCGUUAGAGGUGAAAUUCUUGGAUCGGCGCAAGACGAACGACUGCGAAAGCAUUUGCCAAGAAUGUUUUCUUUAAUCAAGAGCGAAAGUCAGAGGUUCGAAGACGAUCAGAUACCGUCCUAGUUCUGACUAUAAACGAUGCCAACCAGCGAUCGGGGGGCGUUAGUUUGACGACCUCCCCGGCAGCUUGCGGGAAACCAAAGUCUUUGGGUUCCGGGGGAAGUAUGGUUGCAAAGCUGAAACUUAAAGGAAUUGACGGAAGGGCACCACCAGGAGUGGAGCCUGCGGCUUAAUUUGACUCAACACGGGAAAUCUCACCCGGCCCGGACACAGUGAGGAUUGACAGAUUGAGAGCUCUUUCUUGAUUCUGUGGGUGGUGGUGCAUGGCCGUUCUUAGUUGGUGGAGCGAUUUGUCUGGUUAAUUCCGAUAACGAACGAGACUCUGGCUUGCUAAAUAGUUACGCGACCUUCUCGGUCGGCGUCUAACUUCUUAGAGGGACUAGUGGCGUUUAGCCACACGAGAUUGAGCAAUAACAGGUCUGUGAUGCCCUUAGAUGUUCGGGGCGCACGCGCGCUACACUGACCGGAUCAGCAUGUGCUCGCCUUGGCCGACAGGUCUGGGUAACCCGCUGAACCCCGGUCGUGCUAGGGAUAGGGAAUUGCAAUUAUUUCCCUUGAACGAGGAAUUCCCAGUAAGCGCGAGUCAUUAGCCUGCGUUGAUUACGUCCCUGCCCUUU
Molecule: ribosomal RNA, 1065 nt
Filed under: Ascidia sydneiensis samea
Lineage: Eukaryota; Metazoa; Chordata; Ascidiacea; Phlebobranchia; Ascidiidae
Description: SSU rRNA
Rfam family: Eukaryotic small subunit ribosomal RNA
Source: RNAcentral